CGGGUAACAGAGAAUUAGGGUUCGAUUCCGGAGAGGGCGCCUGAGAAAUGGCGACCACUUCUACGGAAGGCAGCAGGCGCGCAAAUUACUCAAUCCCAAUACGGGGAAGUAGUGACAAGAAAUAUUAAUGCCUAUCCCUCACGGGAAGGUAAUUAAAAUGGAUUUAAACUAAACCCAUUUUUUAAUACAAUUGGAGGGCAAGUCUGGUGCCAGCAGCCGCGGUAAUUCCAGCUCCAAUAGCAUAUACUAAAUUUGUUGCGGUUAAAAAGCUCGUAGUUGAAAUUAAAAUUAUACUGGGUUCAAGGUUUUAGUCGACUUCGGUCGGUUUAAAACUUCCAGUGUAAAUUUUAAAACUAAUCCAGGUUGCCAGUUACUUUGUAAUUGGUUUUCUUUGGAUACUUCACUGUGAGGAAAUUGUGGUGCUUAAAGCAAGCGUUUUCGCUUGAUCUUUUGCAGCAUGGUAUGAUAGAAUAUGACAUUUUAUGUAGUUGGCUCGCAUAAAGUGUAAUGAUUAAUAGGGAUGGAUGGGGGUGU
Molecule: ribosomal RNA, 534 nt
Filed under: uncultured Hagiwaraea
Lineage: Eukaryota; Evosea; Eumycetozoa; Dictyosteliales; Raperosteliaceae
Description: bacterial SSU rRNA
Rfam family: Eukaryotic small subunit ribosomal RNA
Source: RNAcentral